UACGUAGGGUGCGAGCGUUGUCCGGAAUUAUUGGGCGUAAAGAGCUCGUAGGCGGUGUGUCACGUCGGCCGUGAAAACCUGCAGCUUAACUGUGGGCGUGCGGUCGAUACGGGCAUCACUGGAGUUCGGCAGGGGAGACUGGAAUUCCUGGUGUAGCGGUGAAAUGCGCAGAUAUCAGGAGGAACACCGGUGGCGAAGGCGGGUCUCUGGGACGUGACUGACGCUGAGACGCGAAAGCGUGGGGAGCAAACAGG
This 254-nucleotide ribosomal RNA is filed under the name uncultured bacterium. RNAcentral's name for it is "partial 16S ribosomal RNA". It matches the Rfam family "Bacterial small subunit ribosomal RNA", at positions 524 to 776 of the family's 1533-position model. The record is from RNAcentral.